AUUGAACGCUGGCGGCAUGCCUUACACAUGCAAGUCGAGCGCGAAAGGGGGCAACCCCGAGUAGAGCGGCGGACGGGUGAGUAACACAUCGGAACGUGCCCAGUAGUGGGGGACAACCUCGAGAAAUCGAGGCUAAUACCGCAUACGACCCACGGGUGAAAGCGGGGGACCGCAAGGCCUCGCGCUAUUGGAGCGGCCGAUGUCCGAUUAGCUAGUUGGCGGGGUAAGAGCCCACCAAGGCGACGAUCGGUAGCUGGUCUGAGAGGACGACCAGCCACACUGGGACUGAGACACGGCCCAGACUCCUACGGGAGGCAGCAGUGGGGAAUUUGGACAAUGGGGGCAACCCUGAUCCAGCCAUGCCGCGUG
RNAcentral lists this ribosomal RNA (369 nucleotides) under uncultured bacterium. RNAcentral's name for it is "bacterial SSU rRNA". It matches the Rfam family "Bacterial small subunit ribosomal RNA", at positions 29 to 403 of the family's 1533-position model. The record is from RNAcentral.